Caenorhabditis elegans is the source of this 210-nucleotide non-coding RNA. NCBI's taxonomy places the organism in Eukaryota, Metazoa, Nematoda, Chromadorea, Rhabditida, Rhabditidae. The record is from Ensembl.
CACACGCAAACUGAUUGGUCCCCCAAGGAAAUGUCUUCGUCGUCGUUGUCGCCGUUGUCCUAAUUAAAAAUGCGUAGACACCCUCAUCACAUUUGUGUGUGCUUCGGGAGCUCCCUCAUUUCGCGCCCAACAUCCACAUUAUUCCAUUAUUGAUCUCAAAUUUGAGAAAUGUUGAUGAUGAUGGUGCUGUUGGGUAGUCGACAGGCCAUG